GGGGCCUUAGCUCAGCUGGGAGAGCGCUUGCAUGGCAUGCAAGAGGUCAGCGGUUCGAUCCCGCUAGGCUCCACCA
This 76-nucleotide transfer RNA is filed under the name Ahrensia kielensis. RNAcentral describes it as "tRNA-Ala". It matches the Rfam family "tRNA". Rfam says of the family: Transfer RNA (tRNA) molecules are approximately 80 nucleotides in length. Their secondary structure includes four short double-helical elements and three loops (D, anti-codon, and T loops). RNAcentral also lists the same sequence under 53 other names. The record is from RNAcentral. Lineage: Bacteria; Pseudomonadati; Pseudomonadota; Alphaproteobacteria; Hyphomicrobiales; Ahrensiaceae.